Molecule: transfer RNA, 72 nt
Filed under: Camelus bactrianus (Bactrian camel)
Lineage: Eukaryota; Metazoa; Chordata; Mammalia; Artiodactyla; Camelidae
Also listed under: 3 other names
Rfam family: tRNA
About the family: Transfer RNA (tRNA) molecules are approximately 80 nucleotides in length. Their secondary structure includes four short double-helical elements and three loops (D, anti-codon, and T loops).
Source: Rfam by way of RNAcentral
CAAGGUAUAGCUCAGUGGUAGAGUGCCUGCCUAGCAUGCACAAGGUCCUGGGCUCAAUCCCCAGUACCUCCA